UACGUAGGGUGCAAGCGUUGUCCGGAAUUAUUGGGCGUAAAGAGCUCGUAGGCGGUCUGUCGCGUCUGCUGUGAAAACUCGGGGCUUAACCCCGGGCCUGCAGUGGGUACGGGCAGACUAGAGUGCGGUAGGGGAGAUCGGAAUUCCUGGUGUAGCGGUGAAAUGCGCAGAUAUCAGGAGGAACACCAAUGGCGAAGGCAGCUCGCUGGGACGGUACUGACGCUGAGGAGCGAAAGCAUGGGGAGCGAACAGG
RNAcentral lists this ribosomal RNA (253 nucleotides) under uncultured bacterium. RNAcentral describes it as "partial 16S ribosomal RNA". It matches the Rfam family "Bacterial small subunit ribosomal RNA", at positions 524 to 776 of the family's 1533-position model. The record is from RNAcentral.